This 463-nucleotide ribosomal RNA is filed under the name uncultured bacterium. Its description in RNAcentral is "partial 16S ribosomal RNA". It matches the Rfam family "Bacterial small subunit ribosomal RNA", at positions 28 to 507 of the family's 1533-position model. The record is from RNAcentral.
GAUGAACGCUGACAGAAUGCUUAACACAUGCAAGUCUUUGGCGAAGCUGUGCUCGCACAGCCUAGCCAAGGCGGACGGGUGAGUAACGCGUAAGGAACUUGCCCUGCAGUCAGGGAUAACAGACGGAAACGACUGAUAAGACCUGGUAAAGUCAGGCGGACUCAUGUCCAGCCUGAUGAAAAGAGAUGCUGCAGGAGAGCCUUGCGUCCUAUUAGCUUGUUGGUGGGGUAACGGCCCACCAAGGCGAUGAUAGGUAGCCGGCCUGAGAGGGUGGACGGCCACAAGGGGACUGAGAUACGGCCCUUACUCCUACGGGAGGCAGCAGUGGGGAAUAUUGGACAAUGGGGGCAACCCUGAUCCAGCAAUUCUGUGUGCACGAUGAAGGUUUUCGGAUUGUAAAGUGCUUUCAGCGGGGAAGAAAAAAAUGACGGUACCUGCAGAAGAAGCGACGGCUAAAUACGUG